UGGCUCAGUGGUUAAGAGCACUGGCUGCUCUUCCAGAAGACCUGGGUUUGAUUCCCAG
RNAcentral lists this transfer RNA (58 nucleotides) under Mus musculus (house mouse). The record is from Rfam by way of RNAcentral. Lineage: Eukaryota; Metazoa; Chordata; Mammalia; Rodentia; Muridae. RNAcentral also lists the same sequence under 2 other names.